UGCGAAGGGGGCUAGCGUUGUUCGGAAUUACUGGGCGUGAAGCGCGUGUAGGCGGUACGGUAAGUCGGAUGUGAAAGCCCCGGGCUCAACCUGGGAACUGCAUCCGAUACUGCCGCACUAGAGUCCCGGAGGGGGUGGUGGAAUUCCCGGUGUAGAGGUGAAAUUCGUAGAUAUCGGGAGGAACACCUGUGGCGAAGGCGACCACCUGGACGGGUACUGACGCUGAGACGCGAAAGCGUGGGGAGCAAACAGG
This 253-nucleotide unclassified non-coding RNA is filed under the name uncultured Myxococcales bacterium. RNAcentral describes it as "contains 16S-23S intergenic spacer region". It matches the Rfam family "Bacterial small subunit ribosomal RNA", at positions 524 to 776 of the family's 1533-position model. The record is from RNAcentral. Lineage: Bacteria; Pseudomonadati; Myxococcota; Myxococcia; Myxococcales.